This 90-nucleotide transfer RNA is filed under the name Leptotrichiaceae bacterium. RNAcentral describes it as "tRNA-Ser(tga)". It matches the Rfam family "tRNA". Rfam says of the family: Transfer RNA (tRNA) molecules are approximately 80 nucleotides in length. Their secondary structure includes four short double-helical elements and three loops (D, anti-codon, and T loops). Lineage: Bacteria; Fusobacteriati; Fusobacteriota; Fusobacteriia; Fusobacteriales; Leptotrichiaceae. The record is from RNAcentral.
GGGCAGAUGUCCGAACUGGCUAAGGAACCGGUCUUGAAAACCGGCGAAGGUGUAACAGCCGUCUGGGUUCGAAUCCCAGUCUGCCCGCCA